UAUUGGCCUAGUUAGGAGGCAAAAAUUAAUGGGAUCUUUUAUUUGUCUUCUCAGGCCUUUUGAGGGGGCAACCUGAUUUUUGAUUUAGUUGUCCCCCAAGCAGCCUAAGACAUUU
Molecule: small nucleolar RNA, 115 nt
Organism: Hevea brasiliensis (rubber tree)
Lineage: Eukaryota; Viridiplantae; Streptophyta; Magnoliopsida; Malpighiales; Euphorbiaceae
Product: small nucleolar RNA U19
Exons: 1
Source: RefSeq, a predicted model, not a curated record